Molecule: long non-coding RNA, 432 nt
Organism: Helianthus annuus (common sunflower)
Lineage: Eukaryota; Viridiplantae; Streptophyta; Magnoliopsida; Asterales; Asteraceae
Exons: 2
Source: RefSeq, a predicted model, not a curated record
UGAUGAAGAACCUUUAGAUCCUGUUGCUUCUGAUCCAAAUCCAAUUGUUAACGUUAACAUCCGGGAUUCUGUUUCCCGUGUCGUUGAUGAAGACACUCCCAUGUCCAGUUUGAACAACAGCAUCUUUACUACACCCUCUGGAGCUCAUAAUAGUUGUUCUUCAAAGAUGCUGGACAAUGAGCUGAAGCGUAAUUUGGAGACGGUUUAUGAUGUGGAUCUUUGUUCUUCUCAGUCUUCAACUAAACCGCGUCAUGGUGAUUGUGAGAACAAUGAAGGUUUGAAGAUGAAAGCAAAGCUGGAAAAUUAGUAUUAACAUUUAAUAGUCAUUUCAGUUUUUUCGAACAAUUUGAGAUGUUUUCUUUUGGUUAAUUUUUUCCGGAACAUUUAUUUUAGUACUUGAUGUUUGGUUUCAUAUGGAUAUUUCGUUUAUUA